GUGACACCUGCCGCAUCACCAGGCUGUGUGAACAAACUCAGCUGCCAGAACUCACAGAAUAUCAGUAUCAGCACCAAAAACUCACAGGAAAAAUGUAGCUCCAUGUUUAGCUCCACAAACUUCAGACUUGAACAGCAUCACUGGCUCCUGACCAGGACUCCAGCUCCAUGAACCUCAAACUAGAACACCAGCCCACCUUCUCCACAUGUGUACGGCUCCAAAACCUAAGACAUCAGUGGCAGUACUUACUCCUCCCGGGGGCUCCAGUUCCAGGACCCUCAGACUUGAACCACAGCACCAACUCUUCCCUGGAUCUCCAGCUCCAUGACCCUCAGACUUAAACAACAGCAGCACCAGCUCAUCCGUGGGUCUCCAGCUCCACGACCCUCAAAUUAGAACUACACCAGCUCCUCCCCAGGUCUCCAGCUCCACAACCCUCAAACUAGAACAACAUCAGCUCCUCCCAGGGUCUCCAACUCCAUGACCCUCAAACUAGAACAACAGUGCUCACCCCUGGAUCUCCAUCUCCACAAACCUCACACUAGAACACCAAUACCGGCUCCUCUACAGCUCUUCAGCUCCACAACCUAAGACAUCAGUGGCAGCAUUGGCUCCUCCCAUAGAUUCCAGCUCUAGGACCCUCAGAUUGAACUGCAAAACCACCUGCUCCCUGGAACUCCAGCUGCACGACACUUAAACUAGAACAACAUCAGCUCCUCCGCGGGUCUCCAGCUGCACGACCCUCAAAUUAGAAUAUCAGCUCCUCCCAGGGUUUCCAGCUGCAUGAACCUCAAACUAGAACAACAUCAGCUCCUCCCCGGUCUCCAGCUGCACAAUACUGAAACUAGAGCAUCAGCUCCUCCCAGGGUCUCCAGCUGCAUGACCCUCAAACUAGAACAUGAACUCCUCCCAGGGUCUCCAUCUACUCGAGCCUCAAACUAGAACAACAUCAGCUCCUCCCUGGGUCUCCAACUCCACGAUCCUCAAACUAGAACAACGCCACUCACCCCUGGAUCUCCAGCUCCACAAACCUCACACUAGAACAGCAACACUGGCUCCUCCAUGGGUGUCCAGCUUUACAACCUAAGACAUUAGUGGCAGCACCAUCUCCUCCUGGGGGCUCAAGCUCCAGGACCCUCAGACUUGAACCGCAGCACCAACUCUUCCCCGGAUCUCCAGCUUGACGACCUUCAGACUUAAACAACAGAAGGAUCAGCUCCUCCCUGGGUUGCCAGCUACAUGACCCUCAACUAGGAUACCAUCAGCUCCUCCCUGGGUCUCCAGCACCAUGACCCACAAACUAAAACACCAACACUGGCUUCUCCACGGGUCUUCAGCUCCACAACCUAAGACAUCAGUGGCAGCAUUGGCUCCUCCCAUAGAUUCCAGCUCCAGGACCCUCAGAUUUGAGGACCCAGUCACUCAAACUAGAACAACACCAGCUCCUCCCCAGGUCUGCAGCUGCACAACCCUCAAACUAGAACAUCAGCUCCUCCCAGGGUCUCCAGCUGCAAGACCCUCAAACUAGAACAUCAGCUCCUCCCAGGGUCUCCAGCUGCACGAACCUCAAACCAGAUCUUCAGCUCCUCCCCAGGUCUCCAGCUACACGACCCUCAAACUAGAACAUUAGCUCCUCCCUGGGUCUCCAGCUCUACAACCAUCAAACUAGAACACCAUCAGCUCCUCUCCGGGUCUCCAGCUCCACGUCUCUCAAAUUAGAACAGCAUCAGCUUCUCCCCGGGUCUCCAGCUACAUGACCCUGAAACUAGAAAAACACCAGCUCCUCUCUGGGUCUCCAAGCUCCACGACCCUCAAACUAGAACAACGUCAGCUCCUCCUCGGUCUCCAGCUGCACGACCCUCAAACUGGAAAAACAGCAGCAAACUAAAAAAACUCCCUGGAUUUUUCUAGUUUGAGGGUCAUGCACCUGGACACCUGGGAAGGAGCUGAUUUUAAUCUAGUUUGAGCGUCAUGAGCUGGACACUCAGGGAGGAGCUGGUGUUUUUCCAGUUUCAGGGUCAUGGAGCUGGACACCCAGGGAGGCGCUGGUUUUCCUCUAGUUUGAGGGUCUUACAGCUGGAGACCCGAGGAGGAGCUGACGUUGUUCUAGUUUGAGGGUUUGUGUAGCUGGAGAUCUGGGGGGAGGAGUGUUUUUCUAGUUUGAGGUCGAUUGAGGGUCAGCUGCAUGACCCUCAAACUAGAGAAACACCAGCUGCCCCCUGGGUCUCCAGCUCCACAAACCUCAAACUAGAGCAACAUCAGCUUCUCCCCUGGCCUCCAGCUCCGUGACCCUCAAACUAGAACAGCGUCAGCUCCUCCUCAGGUUUCCAGCUCCAUGACCCUCAAACUAAAACAACAUCAGCUCCUCCUUGGAACUCCAGCUCCACGACCCUCAGACUUAAACAAGAGCAACAUCAGCUCCUCCUUGGAUCUCCAGCUCCACGACCCUCAGACUUAAACAAGAGCAGCACCAGCUCCUCCACGGGUCUGCAGCUCCAUGACCCUCUAACAAGGAAAACAUCAACUACUCCCUGUGUCUCCAGCUCCAUGACCCUCUGAUCAGUAAAACAUCAACUCCCACCUGAGUCUCCAGACGCAGAAGCCUCAAACUAGAACAACAUCAGCUCCUCCCCAGGUCUCCAGCUGCACGACCCUCAAACUAGAACAUCAGCUCCUCCCUGCAUCUUCAGCAGCACAACCCUCAAUCUAGAACAUCAGCUCCUCCCUGCAUCUUCAGCAGCACGACCCUCAAACUAGAACAUCAGCUCCUCCCUGCGCCUUCAGCAGCACGACCCUCAAACUAGAACAUCAGCUCCUCUCCAGGUCUCCAGCUGCACGACACUCAUACUAGAAAAAUGCCAGCUCCUCCCGGGUUCUAGAGCUACAGGACUGUAGAACUAAAAAACACCUGCUCCUCCCCAGGUCUCCAGCUGCAUGAACCACAAACUAGAACAACACCAGCUCCUCUUUGGGUCUCCAGCUGCAGGGCCCUCAAACAAAAACAUCAGCUUCUCCCCGAGUCUUCAGAUGCACGACCCUCAAACUAGAACAUCAGCUCCUCUCCGAGUCUCCAGUUGCAGGAAACUCAUACUAGAAAAAUGCCAGCCCUUUCCGAAUUCUACAGCUGGACGACCCUCAUAUUAAAAAACACUCUCUCUUCCCCAGGUCUCCAGCUGCAUGAACCUCAAAUUAGAGCAACAUCAGCUCCUCCUCGAGUCUUCAGCUGUGCGAUCUUCAAACUAAAACAUCAGCUCCUCUCUGGCUCGCCAGAUGCAGGACACUCAUACUAGAAAAAUGCCAGCUCCUCCAAGGUUCUACAGCUGCACGACCUUCAAACUAAAAAACACCCACUCCUCCCCAGGUCUCCAGCUGCACAAACCUCAAACUAGAACAUCAGCUCCUCUCUGGGUCUCCAGCACCAAGACUCUCAAACUAGAGCAACAUCAGCUCCUCUCUGGGUCUCCAGCUGCAGGACACUCAUACAAGAAUAAUGCCAGCUCCUCCCAGGUUCUACAGCUGCACAACCCUCAAACUAAAGAAACACCAGCUCCUCUCUGGGUCUGCAGCUGCACGAACCUCAAACUAGAACAGCAGCUCCUCUCCGGGUCUCCAGCUGCACGACACUCCUACUAGAAAAAUGCCAGCUCCUCCCAGGUUCUACAGCUGCACGACCCUCAAACUAAAAAACACCCGCUCCUUCCCAGGUCUCCAGCUGCAUGAACCUCAAACUAGAACACCAGCUCCUUUCUGGGUCUCCAGCUGUAGGACACUCAUACAAGAAAACACCAGUUCCUCCCCAGGUCUUCAGCUGCAAGACCCUCAAACUAGAAAAACACCAGCUCCUUCCAGGUUCUACAGCUGCACGACCCUCAAACUAAAGAAACACCUGCUCCUCCCAGAGUCUGCAGCUGCACGACCCUCAAAGUAACAAACACCAGCUUUUCUCUAGGUCUCCAGCUGCAAGACCCUGAAAUUAGAAAAACACCAGCUGCUCCCUGGGUCUCCAGCUCCACAACUCUGAAACUAGAAAAACACCAGCUCCUCCCCAAGUCUCCAGCUCCAUGACCCUCCAAUUAAAAAAACAUCAGUUUCUCCCAGGUCUCCAGCUGCAUGACCCUCAAAUUAGAACACCUCUCCCCACUGGAUCUCCAGCUCCACGACCCUCACAGAAGAACAGCAACACCAGCUCCUUAAUUGGUCUUCAGCUCUACAACCUAAGACAUCAGUGGCAGCACCGGCUCCUCCGUGAACCUCCAGCUCAAUGAUUUUCAGACUUAAAAUGCAGCACCAUCUCCUCCCCAAGGCUCCAUCUCCACUACCUUCAGAUUUGAACAGCGGUAGCACCAGCUCCUGUCCGGACCUUCAGCUCCA
This 4371-nucleotide long non-coding RNA is filed under the name Homo sapiens (human). Its description in RNAcentral is "non-protein coding lnc-SLCO5A1-3:1". Lineage: Eukaryota; Metazoa; Chordata; Mammalia; Primates; Hominidae. The record is from RNAcentral.